Long non-coding RNA from Macrobrachium nipponense, 409 nucleotides. RefSeq lists it as uncharacterized. The record is from RefSeq and is a predicted model, not a curated record. Lineage: Eukaryota; Metazoa; Arthropoda; Malacostraca; Decapoda; Palaemonidae. The transcript has 3 exons.
GUGAAGGAGAGUUGUUGCAACAGACAUUGUCUCUCUCCGUUAGUGGUCUGCCUGUAGUGAUUCCCUCGUCUCCCUCUCGUACUUUUAAAGGACUUGGAGGGACUAACAUUGACGCGCCAAGUGAAUUCCAGUUUAUAAUAGAUGAAAGACUAAGGACUCAGAACGAAUACAUAACUUCCGAAAUUCCAAGGCAUUGAAAAGGAAUCUACUUCCGAAGAAAGGACGCGUCUCUAAGACGAAAGGAAAAAAUGGACUUCUACAGACUAUUAACGGUCGGACUUUUCGCCAUAUUCAUCCUGCUAAGCUCGGUAGCAGAAGCCACAAUUAGCCAGCUGGGGAGUAUAUACAUCAUCACUCCUCAACAAUACGAGACGGAUCCCUACGCUGCUAAAAGUAUGGACUCCUCCUU